Non-coding RNA from Cordylochernes scorpioides, 73 nucleotides. NCBI's taxonomy places the organism in Eukaryota, Metazoa, Arthropoda, Arachnida, Pseudoscorpiones, Chernetidae. The record is from the annotation of a GenBank genome assembly.
AGUCCUGUGGCCCAACGGAUAAGGCGUUUGCCUCCGGAGUCAAAGAUUGUGGGUUCGUAUCCCAUUAGGAUCG